GGUGGGGAGAGGACCGGGACUUGGGUCCUUAGCACCUCAGAAUACUUCCAAGAUUAGACUCCUGGGGUUGCUUAUAUGAGGUUAUUUCAUCCAGUUCGUUGCCUCUAGGAACCACUUCUGCUUUUGGCAGCCACAGGCAGCUCUCUGCAGUUUUGACCCAACAGCUAGUGAGGGGAUGACCCUCCACAUGGCGAUGGUUUCUGGAUCCUGAAUCAAGGCUGAGGCCCUCACCCGCCCAGGCCCUUUUGUCUUUGUCCCUCCUUGCUCCCAUUCCUAAGAAUGCUGGCCAGCAGGCCGUGGCUUUCUGAUGGCAAGAUGGCUGGCACGAAACGAUUAGAGAAACCCAAGUUCAGAGCUUGGCAUCUUACCUGAAAGCAUCACGAAGCUUUUUGCCCACUGGGAAUGGAAAGAAGAUGCCAAAAGAUGUAGAAUAUCUGUAUUCAGCAAGGAGCUAGACAGACUGUCUCUGAUCCAACUUAUUCUUUUCUAGCACAUCCUCCACACAGCUAUCAAAGUGAAAUUCCUAAAGCCCGAGUCCUGCCAUGGCACUAUCAGCUCAGUAAACUCCAGAGGUUCCCUAGUACAUCUAGAAUCAGGUUAAAAUUUUUUAUUUGGCCUUUAAAAGUCUUCACAAUCUGACUCCAGGUUCAUAAUACAUUACUCCCUUUCAUGUAUUCUCCUUUUCAACCAAACAGAUCACCUUGCUGCCUCUGGUAUCCCUCUCCCACCUCAGUUCCUUUGCACAGGCUGUCUGCCAUGCCUAGAAGGCUCUUUCUUCUUCCUUCUGCCUCUUCAAAAUCCAGUUGAAGUGCCAUCUUUUUCAAGAAGCCUUGUCUAAUAUUCCAGCUGUUAGUACCUCAUCCCCUGAAGUCACUUUGUCUUUUACUUAUCUUGUCUCCUCCCAGUAGAAUGCAAACUCCCUGAAGGCAAAGAUGGUCUUACUUUUGUAUUUUUGUUCCCAGAGACAAACUGAGUGCCUGGACCAUAUUAAAUGCUUAAUAAAUUUUGCUUAUUGAUUGA
This is a long non-coding RNA of Vombatus ursinus (common wombat), 1020 nucleotides long. RefSeq lists it as uncharacterized. The transcript is spliced from 3 exons. Lineage: Eukaryota; Metazoa; Chordata; Mammalia; Diprotodontia; Vombatidae. The record is from RefSeq and is a predicted model, not a curated record.